AUAUCUCUCCGUACGGGAAGGAUGAGAAGCUUCGACUAAGGUUCGAUUCGAGCGAAAGCGAGAAAGCGUUGCCAACGGCAACGACCCGAAG
Molecule: small RNA, 91 nt
Filed under: Salmonella enterica subsp. enterica serovar Oranienburg
Lineage: Bacteria; Pseudomonadati; Pseudomonadota; Gammaproteobacteria; Enterobacterales; Enterobacteriaceae
Also listed under: 1 other name
Description: partial RtT sRNA
Rfam family: RtT RNA
About the family: This family represents a bacterial cis-regulatory element known as RtT RNA. The exact function of RtT is unknown although it is thought that it may be involved in changing the cellular response in relation to amino acid starvation.
Source: RNAcentral